CCAGACUCCUACGGGAGGCAGCAGUGAGGAAUAUUGGUCAAUGGGCGCAAGCCUGAACCAGCCAAGUCGCGUGAGGGAUGACGGUCCUAUGGAUUGUAAACCUCUUUUGUCGGGGAGCAAGGCCCGCCACGUGUGGCGGGAAGGAGAGUACCCGAAGAAAAAGCAUCGGCUAACUCCGUGCCAGCGGCCGCGGUAAUACGGAGGAUCCGAGCGUUAUCCGGAUUUAUUGGGUUUAAAGGGUGCGUAGGCGGUUUUAUAAGUUAGAGGUGAAAUCUCGGGGCUCAACUCCGAAAUUGCCUCUAAUACUGUAGGACUAGAGAGUAGUUGCGGUAGGCGGAAUGUAUGGUGUAGCGGUGAAAUGCUUAGAGAUCAUACAGAACACCGAUUGCGAAGGCAGCUUACCAAACUAUAUCUGACGUUGAGGCACGAAAGCGUGGGGAGCAAACAGGAUUAGAUACCCGCGUACU
This 467-nucleotide ribosomal RNA is filed under the name uncultured bacterium. RNAcentral describes it as "bacterial SSU rRNA". It matches the Rfam family "Bacterial small subunit ribosomal RNA", at positions 331 to 794 of the family's 1533-position model. The record is from RNAcentral.